This 207-nucleotide ribosomal RNA is filed under the name uncultured bacterium. Its description in RNAcentral is "partial 16S ribosomal RNA". It matches the Rfam family "Bacterial small subunit ribosomal RNA", at positions 568 to 774 of the family's 1533-position model. The record is from RNAcentral.
CGCGUAGGCGGUUUUUUAAGUCAGAUGUGAAAGCCCGGGGCUCAACCCUGGAAGUGCAUUUGAAACUGAAAGACUUGAGUAUGGGAGAGGGAAGUGGAAUUCCUGGUGUAGAGGUGAAAUUCGUAGAUAUCAGGAGGAACACCGGUGGCGAAGGCGACUUCCUGGACCAAUACUGACGCUGAGGCGCGAAGGCGUGGGUAGCAAACA